UACGGAGGGUGCAAGCGUUAUCCGGAUUCACUGGGUUUAAAGGGUGCGUAGGCGGGCAGGUAAGUCCGUGGUGAAAUCCUAUAGCUUAACUAUAGAACUGCCAUGGAUACUAUUUGUCUUGAAUGUUGUGGAGGUAAGCGGAAUAUGUCAUGUAGCGGUGAAAUGCUUAGAUAUGACAUAGAACACCUAUUGCGAAGGCAGCUUACUACGCAAUGAUUGACGCUGAGGCACGAAAGCGUGGGUAG
Molecule: ribosomal RNA, 245 nt
Filed under: uncultured bacterium
Lineage: Bacteria
Description: partial 16S ribosomal RNA
Rfam family: Bacterial small subunit ribosomal RNA
Source: RNAcentral